GAUGAAGAACGCAGCGAAAUGCGAUAAGUAAUGUGAAUUGCAGAAUUCAGUGAAUCAUCGAAUCUUUGAACGCACCUUGCACCCUUUGGCAUUCCGAAGGGUAUGCUCGUUUGAGUGUCAUUGUACUCUCACACUUCUGAUCCUUUGGAUUGGGAGCGGUGGACUUGGGUGUUGCUGCUUUACUGUGGCUCACCUCAAAUGCAUUCGUGCAACUCUUGGUUGGACAUAGUACGGCGUGAUAAGUAUCUUCGCCGGCACCUCGCAAGAGGGUGGCUGAUCAGGAGCUCUGUGCUUUCCAUCUGUCUUCAGACAACAACUGACAACUUGACCUCAAAUCGAGUAGGACCACCCGCUGAACUUAAGCAUAUCAAUAAGCGGAGGA
RNAcentral lists this unclassified non-coding RNA (382 nucleotides) under soil metagenome. Its description in RNAcentral is "partial contains 5.8S ribosomal RNA, internal transcribed spacer 2, and large subunit ribosomal RNA". The stretch from base 1 to 120 matches the Rfam family "5.8S ribosomal RNA", at positions 35 to 154 of the family's 154-position model. The record is from RNAcentral.